GCCGAGCGGUAGAGAUCUUUCGGGAUCUUGAGAGCGGCGUACGGGUGCGGAACACGUGUGCAACCUGCCUUUAUCUGGGGGAUAGCCUUUCGAAAGGAAGAUUAAUACCCCAUAAUAUAUUGAAUGGCAUCAUUUGAUAUUGAAAACUCCGGUGGAUAGAGAUGGGCACGCGCAAGAUUAGAUAGUUGGUGAGGUAACGGCUCACCAAGUCAGCGAUCUUUAGGGGGCCUGAGAGGGUGAUCCCCCACACUGGUACUGAGACACGGACCAGACUCCUACGGGAGGCAGCAGUGAGGAAUAUUGGACAAUGGGUGAGAGCCUGAUCCAGCCAUCCCGCGUGAAGGACGACGGCCCUAUGGGUUGUAAACUUCUUUUGUAUAGGGAUAAACCUACCCUCGUGAGGGUAGCUGAAGGUACUAUACGAAUAAGCACCGGCUAACUCCGUGCCAGCAGCCGCGGUAAUACGGAGGGUGCAAGCGUUAUCCGGAUUUAUUGGGUUUAAAGGGUCCGUAGGCUGAUUUGUAAGUCAGUGGUGAAAUCUCACAGCUUAACUGUGAAACUGCCAUUGAUACUGCAAGUCUUGAGUGUUGUUGAAGUAGCUGGAAUAAGUAGUGUAGCGGUGAAAUGCAUAGAUAUUACUUAGAACACCAAUUGCGAAGGCAGGUUACUAAGCAACAACUGACGCUGAUGGACGAAAGCGUGGGGAGCGAACAGGAUUAGAUACCCUGGUAGUCCACGCCGUAACGAUGCUAACUCGUUUUUGGGCUUUUGGGUUCAGAGACUAAGCGAAAGUGAUAAGUUAGCCACCUGGGGAGUACGAACGCAAGUUUGAAACUCAAAGGAAUUGACGGGGGCCCGCACAAGCGGUGGAUUAUGUGGUUUAAUUCGAUGAUACGCGAGGAACCUUACCAAGGCUUAAAUGGGAAAUGACAGGCUUAGAAAUAGGCUUUUCUUCGGACAUUUUUCAAGGUGCUGCAUGGUUGUCGUCAGCUCGUGCCGUGAGGUGUUAGGUUAAGUCCUGCAACGAGCGCAACCCCUGUCACUAGUUGCCAUCAUUAAGUUGGGGACUCUAGUGAGACUGCCUACGCAAGUAGAGAGGAAGGUGGGGAUGACGUCAAAUCAUCACGGCCCUUACGCCUUGGGCCACACACGUAAUACAAUGGCCGGUACAGAGGGCAGCUACACUGCGAAGUGAUGCAAAUCUCGAAAGCCGGUCUCAGUUCGGAUUGGAGUCUGCAACUCGACUCUAUGAAGCUGGAAUCGCUAGUAAUCGCGCAUCAGCCAUGGCGCGGUGAAUACGUUCCCGGGCCUUGUACACACCGCCCGUCAAGCCAUGGAAGUCUGGGGUACCUGAAGUCGGUGACCGUAAC
This 1370-nucleotide ribosomal RNA is filed under the name bacterium S15. RNAcentral describes it as "bacterial SSU rRNA". It matches the Rfam family "Bacterial small subunit ribosomal RNA". The record is from RNAcentral.